GUCAGCUGCUAUAUCAAACUGCAACUCACAACUGGCAACUGACUGAAGCUAGGCAGGUGUGAGCCUGGCCAGUACCUGGACGGGAGACCUCCUGGGAAAACUAUGGUUGUUGCUGAAA
Molecule: ribosomal RNA, 118 nt
Filed under: Lepisosteus oculatus (spotted gar)
Lineage: Eukaryota; Metazoa; Chordata; Actinopteri; Semionotiformes; Lepisosteidae
Source: RNAcentral